This 31-nucleotide non-coding RNA is filed under the name Rattus norvegicus (Norway rat). The record is from RNAcentral. Lineage: Eukaryota; Metazoa; Chordata; Mammalia; Rodentia; Muridae.
UAAACUGCUAUACUGUAGGUAUGCCAGACCC